This 790-nucleotide ribosomal RNA is filed under the name uncultured Verrucomicrobiota bacterium. RNAcentral describes it as "bacterial SSU rRNA". It matches the Rfam family "Bacterial small subunit ribosomal RNA", at positions 68 to 835 of the family's 1533-position model. The record is from RNAcentral. Lineage: Bacteria; Pseudomonadati; Verrucomicrobiota.
AUUACAGGGUAGCAAUAUUCUGUGGUCGGAGCGGCGCAUGGGUGCGUAACACGUGGGUAAUCUGCCAUGAAGUUUGGAAUAACUUGCUGAAAGGCGAGCUAAUACCGGAUGUGACAAUUAGGAGGCAUCUUCCGAUUGUCAAAGCUGGGGACCGUAAGGCCUGGCGCUUCAUGAUGAGCCCGCGGCCUAUCAGCUAGUUGGUGAGGUAACGGCUCACCAAGGCUAAGACGGGUAGCUGGUCUGAGAGGACGACCAGCCACACUGGAACUGAGACACGGUCCAGACACCUACGGGUGGCAGCAGUCGAGAAUUUUUCACAAUGGGCGCAAGCCUGAUGGAGCGACGCCGCGUGGGGGAUGAAUGGCUUCGGCCCGUAAACCCCUGUCAUUUGCGAACAAAUUGGUUCAAUUAACACCUGAACCAUUGAUAGUAGCGAAAGAGGAAGGGACGGCUAACUCUGUGCCAGCAGCCGCGGUAAUACAGAGGUCCCAAGCGUUGUUCGGAUUCACUGGGCGUAAAGGGUGCGUAGGUGGUGAGGUAAGUCGGAUGUGAAAGCUCGGAGCUCAACUCCGAAAUGGCAUUGGAAACUACCUUGCUCGAGGGUUGGAGGGGGGACUGGAAUGCUUGGUGUAGCAGUGAAAUGCGUAGAUAUCAAGCGGAACACCAGUGGCGAAGGCGAGUCCCUGGACAACUCCUGACACUGAGGCACGAAAGCUAGGGGAGCAAACAGGAUUAGAUACCCUGGUAGUCCUAGCCGUAAACGGUGCACGUUUGCUGUAAAAGGAAUCGA